AGCAGUGUAGCCUAGUGGUAAAGAGUAGGACUUGUAACUGAAAGGUUGCUGGUUCAAUUCUCUCCCAGGCACUGCUG
Megalops atlanticus (tarpon) is the source of this 77-nucleotide non-coding RNA. The record is from the annotation of a GenBank genome assembly. Lineage: Eukaryota; Metazoa; Chordata; Actinopteri; Elopiformes; Megalopidae.